Molecule: unclassified non-coding RNA, 606 nt
Filed under: Acremonium sp. W07
Lineage: Eukaryota; Fungi; Ascomycota; Sordariomycetes; Hypocreales; Bionectriaceae
Description: sequence contains ITS1, 5.8S rRNA gene, ITS2
Rfam family: 5.8S ribosomal RNA (bases 212-365)
Source: RNAcentral
AAUCGUAACAAGGUCUCCGUUGGUGAACCAGCGGAGGGAUCAUUACCAGAGUGCCCUAGGCUCUCCAACCCAUUGUGAACUUACCAAACGUUCCCUCGGCGGGCUCAGCGCGCGGCGGCCUCCGGGCCUCCGGGCGUCCGCCGGGGAAAACCAAACCCUGAUUUAAUCGUAUUUCUCUGAGGGGCGAAAGCCCGAAAACAAAAUGAAUCAAAACUUUCAACAACGGAUCUCUUGGCUCUGGCAUCGAUGAAGAACGCAGCGAAAUGCGAUAAGUAAUGUGAAUUGCAGAAUUCAGUGAAUCAUCGAAUCUUUGAACGCACAUUGCGCCCGCCGGCACUCCGGCGGGCAUGCCUGUCCGAGCGUCAUUUCAACCCUCAGGCCCACCCUUCCGGGGGAACGGGCCUGGUUCUGGGGAUCGGCGGCCCUCGCGGCCCCCGUCCCUCAAAUUCAGUCCCGGUCGCGCCGCAGCCUCCCCUGCGUAGUAGCACAACCUCGCACCGGAGAGCGGAACGACCACGCCGUAAAACACCCAAUUUUUUAAGGUUGACCUCGGAUCAGGUAGGAAUACCCGCUGAACUUAAGCAUAUCAAUAAGCGGAGGAAUUGG